UACGGAGGGGGCUAGCGUUGUUCGGAAUCAUUGGGCGUAAGGCGCGUGUAGGCGGCUUGAUAAGUCUGCUCUGAAAGCCCGGGGCUCAACCCCGGGAGGCGGGUGGAUACUGUCAAGCUCGAGUCCGGAAGAGGAGUGUGGAAUUCCUGGUGUAGCGGUGAAAUGCGCAGAUAUCGAGGAGGAACACCGGUGGCGAAGGCGGGUCUCUGGGCCGAUACUGACGCUGGAGGAGCGAAAGCAUGGGGAGCGAACAGG
This 255-nucleotide ribosomal RNA is filed under the name uncultured bacterium. RNAcentral's name for it is "partial 16S ribosomal RNA". It matches the Rfam family "Bacterial small subunit ribosomal RNA", at positions 524 to 776 of the family's 1533-position model. The record is from RNAcentral.